UGGCAGAGGAGCUCUGGCCUUCUCUUUGCAAAUGUGGAGAUGGUGCUCAUUUAAACUCUCAGAUUCAUUGACUCAUCUGCCAUGUAGAAUUGUGUACUAUUAAUAUAUAAUUCAAUGAGAUAUACUCUUACAAAUUUUUUAUGAAUUGAGAGAGGACUUCUUCUCCAAAUACAAGGUACUCAGCACAACAAAGAUCUAUGGAUAUAGUAGAAGACACUGUACACAUGUGUAUUUAAGAAUUCAGUUGGGGACACAAAAGGUGUUCAUGAAAUGUUGGAAGGAGGGGCAAAAUUAUUAUUUAUCAAAUACAUUCUAUAGGCGAAGAGAUAUUUUCUCAAAAGCAGCAAGCAAAGGGCACUGGACUCAUCGAGCUACAACUUAAUUUUGCCUAAAGUGAAAUUAAGAAACAUUUUAUGUCUCACCUGCUGAAGAUUAUAUGUUGAAAUCUCAAUGUCCAAGGAGAUGGUAUUAGAAAAAUAGGUGUUGCAAGGUGAUUGGAUUAUGAAGAUGGGACCCUCAUGAAUCAGAGCAGUGAUCUCAUAAGAGACCCUUACCCCUUCCACCAUGUGAGGACCCAGCAAGAAGAUACACUCAGUGAAGGGGAAACGGAGGAAGCUGAUCUUCACCAGACAAGGAAUCUGCAGGCACCUUCACCUUGGACUUCCCAGAUUGUGAAAACUGAGUUUCUACCCAGCGAUGGUACUUUGUUGUAGCAGCCCAAAUGAACUGAGACAAUCUCACUGCAAGAAAUGGCUACACUGCUGUGAAUUAUGCUAGCAGCACAUGCAAAUUCUGCUUCAGAGCUCUGGACUCCUUUUCGUGUCUGUUCCCUCCCUUACCCCUGCCCAAAUUCCAAAUGUGGUCAGGCUGCCCCAGAAUGUGCAGACACAAAUGAGGCAUAAGCCAUUUGGUCCAUUCAUUCCUACAAAACAUUAUUGAAAUACAUGUGGGCUUUCCCAAGUACAUUUUAAACCUGUGCUUAAUCAUCAUACUGUUGAAUCAUUCCAGUUCUCCAUUUUACUCCUCAGUCUCCUGAGAUUUUUUUUAUUGCUAGCCUCAGGCACAGUGCCUGACUCACAGUAGCACACUGAGAAAUGUUUGUUGGAACUAAUGAUUAAAUGAAUGAAAAUGAAUAUAUUUUUUUUUAAAUCAUGAAUUUCUAGUGCUGCAAUGGCAGACUUUUCUGGUUCAAGGUUUUGUUCCUGAAAUCUUUCAAAUCCCAUGUGACAUUUCACUCAUCUUUGAAAGAUUAGACUUGAGUAGGCAGCAUAGACAUUUGCAAUGUCACAAGAUUGGUAAACUAAUUCAAGUUUAUAGUCCAAGGUGCUGCUGAAGGCUUAGGAAAUCAACUUUAUUCUGAUAUUUUUAAAAUGUAGGAGAUAAAUAAAUUCUAAGGCCAUUUUACUGCCACUGUGUGGCUCAGGUUCACCUAGGCAAGAUGAAAUCAUUAAGUGUGUUUUUAUCUACCAAACAAGGCCUGUCAAGGCUUAAGAAAACAGAACGAGCUCCAGGUCUACAACUUGGACAAAGCAGUAUGCAACAAUCAUAUUACAUACCACCUUCACUGGUUAAUCCUUUCUCCAAAUUCUGGUUGCAAUGGCUUAGAAUUAUACAGUUAUUUAGAUGGGCAUGGAGCUACUCAAAUUAGUCCACACCCUCUUUCAUUUCCACCCAUUGAUGUAUUAUGCCUGGCACUUAACAUUUGGACAGUAUCUAAUCCUUUCUACUGAUACCAAUUUAAGUGACCAGGAUUAUGUCUUAUUCAGUAUUGUUUCACCUACUCUUAUAAAAGUACCUAGCAUAUAAGAUUAAUUAAAUAAUUUCC
Molecule: long non-coding RNA, 1825 nt
Organism: Marmota monax (woodchuck)
Lineage: Eukaryota; Metazoa; Chordata; Mammalia; Rodentia; Sciuridae
Exons: 4
Source: RefSeq, a predicted model, not a curated record